This 388-nucleotide ribosomal RNA is filed under the name uncultured bacterium. Its description in RNAcentral is "bacterial SSU rRNA". It matches the Rfam family "Bacterial small subunit ribosomal RNA", at positions 356 to 761 of the family's 1533-position model. The record is from RNAcentral.
GGGGAAUCUUGGACAAUGGGCGCAAGCCUGAUCCAGCCAUGCCGCGUGAGUGAAGAAGGCCUUAGGGUUGUAAAGCUCUUUUGGCAGGGACGAUAAUGACGGUACCUGCAGAAUAAGCCCCGGCAAACUUCGUGCCAGCAGCCGCGGUAAUACGAAGGGGGCUAGCGUUGCUCGGAAUUACUGGGCGUAAAGCGCACGUAGGCGGACUCUUAAGUCGGUGGUGAAAUCCUGGAGCUCAACUCCAGAACUGCCUUCGAUACUGGGAGUCUUGAGUUCGGGAGAGGUGAGUGGAACUGCGAGUGUAGAGGUGAAAUUCGUAGAUAUUCGCAAGAACACCAGUGGCGAAGGCGGCUCACUGGCCCGAUACUGACGCUGAGGUGCGAAAGCG